AACAAUGGAUCUCUUGGUUCUCGCAUCGAUGAAGAACGCAGCGAAUUGCGAUAUGUAAUGUGAAUUGCAGAAUUCAGUGAAUCAUCGAAUCUUUGAACGCACCUUGCGCCCUUUGGUAUUCCGAAGGGCAUGCCUGUUUGAGUGUCAUUAAAUUCUCAACUUCAACACUUUUUUGUAUUGAAGCUUGGAUGUUGGAGGGUCUUGCGGGCAUAUAUUAAUGUCAGCUCCUCUUAAAUGCAUUAGCAGAACCUGUGUUCGGCUCUGGUUUGAUAAUCCUAUCUAUGCCAUUGCUGAAAUGUCAUUGUUCAGCUUCUAAUGGUCCAUUGGACUGUCUCUUCAGAGGCAUAUAUUUUGACUUGACCUCAAAUCAGGUAGGACUACCCGCUGAACUUAAGCAUAUCAAUAAGCGGAGGAAAUCGAAUUCCCGCGGC
This 431-nucleotide ribosomal RNA is filed under the name uncultured fungus. RNAcentral describes it as "eukaryotic LSU rRNA". The stretch from base 1 to 147 matches the Rfam family "5.8S ribosomal RNA". Lineage: Eukaryota; Fungi. The record is from RNAcentral.